AUAAGAUUAAAAAAUAACAAUAAUGUUAAUGGGGUAAAACUCCUGAGGAUAACGCUUUGGCGAGACGCGUUCCAAUGCAAUCAACGAGUGAUAAAAGAGGAACGAAAGAUACCAGAGGGACAGUCAAACUCAUAAAUAAAAAAUAAACUGACAACGCCAUGGCUAAAAAUGAAAAAAGACAAACAGACAAACGAUAGUACACAUGAC
Molecule: long non-coding RNA, 207 nt
Filed under: Mytilus galloprovincialis (Mediterranean mussel)
Lineage: Eukaryota; Metazoa; Mollusca; Bivalvia; Mytilida; Mytilidae
Source: RNAcentral